AUUGAACGCUGGCGGCAUGCCUUACACAUGCAAGUCGAACGGCAGCACGGGAGCAAUCCUGGUGGCGAGUGGCGAACGGGUGAGUAAAGUAUCGGAACGUGCCCAGUCGUGGGGGAUAACGUAGCGAAAGUUACGCUAAUACCGCAUACGAUCUAUGGAUGAAAGCGGGGGAUCGCAAGACCUCGCGCGAUUGGAGCGGCCGAUAUCAGAUUAGGUAGUUGGUGGGGUAAAGGCUCACCAAGCCGACGAUCCGUAGCUGGUCUGAGAGGACGACCAGCCACACGGGGACUGAGACACCGCCCAGACUCCUACGGGAGGCAGCAGAGGGGAAUUUUAGACAGUGGGCGCAAGCCUGAUCCAGCCAUGUCGCGUGCAGGAUGAAGGCCUUCGGGUUGUAAACUGCUUGUGUACGUGACGAAAAGGUUUGACUUAAUACGUUGGACUCAUGACGGUACCGUAAGAAUAAGCACCGGCUAACUACGUGCCAGCCGCCGCAGUAA
RNAcentral lists this ribosomal RNA (500 nucleotides) under uncultured bacterium. RNAcentral describes it as "partial 16S ribosomal RNA". It matches the Rfam family "Bacterial small subunit ribosomal RNA", at positions 30 to 523 of the family's 1533-position model. The record is from RNAcentral.